Molecule: ribosomal RNA, 497 nt
Filed under: uncultured bacterium
Lineage: Bacteria
Description: partial 16S ribosomal RNA
Rfam family: Bacterial small subunit ribosomal RNA
Source: RNAcentral
GACGAACGCUGGCGGCGUGCCUAAUACAUGCAAGUAGAACGCUGAAGCUUGGUGCUUGCCCCGAGCGGAUGAGUUGCGAACGGGUGAGUAACGCGUAGGUAACCUGCCUGGUAGCGGGGGAUAACUAUUGGAAACGAUAGCUAAUACCGCAUAAGAGUAGAUGUUGCAUGACAUUUGCUUAAAAGGUGCAAUUGCAUCACUACCAGAUGGACCCGCGUUGUAUUAGCUAGUUGGUGAGGUAACGGCUCACCAAGGCAACGAUACAUAGCCGACCUGAGAGGGUGAUCGGCCACACUGGGACUGAGACACGGCCCAGACUCCUACGGGAGGCAGCAGUAGGGAAUCUUCGGCAAUGGACGGAAGUCUGACCGAGCAACGCCGCGUGAGUGAAGAAGGUUUUCGGAUCGUAAAGCUCUGUUGUAAGAGAAGAACGAGUGUGAGAGUGGAAAGUUCACACUGUGACGGUACCUUACCAGAAAGGGACGGCUAACUACGUG